UGGGGAAUAGCCAAGCGGUAAGGCAGUGGAUUUUGGUUCCACGAUCGGGGGUCCGAAUCCCUCUUCCCCAA
This 71-nucleotide transfer RNA is filed under the name Candidatus Moranbacteria bacterium CG23_combo_of_CG06-09_8_20_14_all_39_10. RNAcentral's name for it is "tRNA-Gln". It matches the Rfam family "tRNA". From Rfam's summary of the family: Transfer RNA (tRNA) molecules are approximately 80 nucleotides in length. Their secondary structure includes four short double-helical elements and three loops (D, anti-codon, and T loops). Lineage: Bacteria; Candidatus Moraniibacteriota. The record is from RNAcentral.